This 73-nucleotide transfer RNA is filed under the name Phycisphaerae bacterium. RNAcentral describes it as "tRNA-Pro". It matches the Rfam family "tRNA". From Rfam's summary of the family: Transfer RNA (tRNA) molecules are approximately 80 nucleotides in length. Their secondary structure includes four short double-helical elements and three loops (D, anti-codon, and T loops). RNAcentral also lists the same sequence under 1 other name. The record is from RNAcentral. Lineage: Bacteria; Pseudomonadati; Planctomycetota; Phycisphaerae.
CUGGGUGUGGGGCAAUUGGGAGCCUACCUGGUUUGGAUCCAGGAUGUUGCAGGUUCGAGUCCUGCCACCCAGA